GAGUCUGGCCACACCACCCUGAACACACCCGAUCUCAUAUAAUCUUGGAAGUUAAGCAGUAUCUGGCCUAGUUAGUACUUGGAUCGGAGACCGCCUGGGAAUAGGCUUUCUGUUCU
RNAcentral lists this ribosomal RNA (116 nucleotides) under Sphenodon punctatus (tuatara). The record is from RNAcentral. Lineage: Eukaryota; Metazoa; Chordata; Lepidosauria; Sphenodontia; Sphenodontidae.